AUUGAACGCUGGCGGCAUGCUUUACACAUGCAAGUCGAACGGUAACAGGCCGCAAGGUGCUGACGAGUGGCGAACGGGUGAGUAAUGCAUCGGAACGUGCCCAGCCUUGGGGGAUAACUACUCGAAAGAGUAGCUAAUACCGCAUACGAUCUAUGGAUGAAAGCGGGGGACCGUAAGGCCUCGCGCGAUUGGAGCGGCCGAUGUCAGAUUAGGUAGUUGGUGGGGUAAAGGCUCACCAAGCCAACGAUCUGUAGCUGGUCUGAGAGGACGACCAGCCACACUGGGACUGAGACACGGCCCAGACUCCUACGGGAGGCAGCAGUGGGGAAUUUUGGCCAAUGGGCGCAAGCCUGAUCCAGCAGAGCCGCGUGCAGAAAGAAGGCCUUCGGGUUGUAAACUGCUUUUGUACGGAACGAAACGGCUCUGGUUAAUACCCGGGGCUAAUGACGGUACCGGAAGAAUAAGCACCGGCUAACUACGUG
RNAcentral lists this ribosomal RNA (482 nucleotides) under uncultured bacterium. Its description in RNAcentral is "partial 16S ribosomal RNA". It matches the Rfam family "Bacterial small subunit ribosomal RNA", at positions 30 to 507 of the family's 1533-position model. The record is from RNAcentral.